CAGGAAUCGCUUCUUCCUCAAGAUCUGAAACAGCAAAUCGAAUCUGAUAAAAUGUUCGAAGUUAUGAAAGCUGUAAAUAAAAUUAUGUUCAAGAUUGUUUCCUACUUAACAGUUUUGGCAUUCUUCAUCGUAAUUCCAUUCUUGAUGGUUUCAUUCGGUGUAACGUACUUAACAGAAUGUCCAGCUCAGUAUAACGUGCCAAUAUUUUUGAUAAUUGGG
Molecule: long non-coding RNA, 219 nt
Organism: Centruroides sculpturatus (bark scorpion)
Lineage: Eukaryota; Metazoa; Arthropoda; Arachnida; Scorpiones; Buthidae
Exons: 3
Source: RefSeq, a predicted model, not a curated record